GUGAUCCUGACCUGUGGACACAAAAACAGACUCAGAGGGAAGAGGUGUUAAAUAUCCAGGUAGGUCCUGGCUCAGCGUCCGGGUCUGGUCUGGCAGCGGAUCCUGAUGGCGGUCAUCAGAACCGGGUCUCCAAACCUCCUGACCGGCCGUCUGAGAGGAAGCAGCUCUCCUGGAUCUGGAGGCUGGAAUAUUUCAGACAUCACAUAGUUAGUAAUGUUUUAAUAAUAAUCAAUAAUCAAUGUCAGUGGUCAAUUACAAACUGGUACUAUAGUUACUCAAAUUGAAAAGUUUAUUUCAUAUGCAAGGAAUCAAAUAGAUGUGAUCACCUAGCUGGGAAAAUUGGGGGAUCAAAUGGGUUCCCUCGCACAAGUUUCUUCACAUUAAUUUAGUCAAUCAUUGUACAACAUCAUACCAUAAACAAAUGAAAAACUAAAGCACUCACCUCCUCUUUCACCCCUGUGAGCCUUCGACAUCCUCCUCCAAACUGCAAUAAAAAAAAACAAUACAAAAUACAAUAUAAAAAAGAAUAAAAUACAACUAUCCUCAGGAAAAAAAAGAAA
Molecule: long non-coding RNA, 560 nt
Organism: Ctenopharyngodon idella (grass carp)
Lineage: Eukaryota; Metazoa; Chordata; Actinopteri; Cypriniformes; Xenocyprididae
Exons: 2
Source: RefSeq, a predicted model, not a curated record